CAAAGUCGCGGGCUUAUCAUUAACUAGCGUAACAGCUAGUUAAUGAUAAGCCAUUUGCGAAAAAAUAAAGAUAAGUGAACCUUUUGUCACGCACUUUCAGCUAGUAAUAAUAGCAAUCAGCGGCGCCCGCAGGCUAUAAAAGGGAGCACAAGCUAUUAAAAAAAAGCUUUGUACUGUACGUUAUUCAAACUCUACGAUUCAACGUCACAUCACGCUGCCACAAGGUGGCACUGGUAGCAUUCGGGUUAAAUUGGCUUUGAAAACAAGGGCUAACUUGUGGUUUCGGUCAACAUGUAAAGAAGUUGAAUGGGACAACGGACAAAUAUCGUUAUUAGUCUCUCUUAAAUUUUUCAGAAUAGAAGUCAUGAAUUUUCUGUUUUGUGUCCCCUUGGAUAUUAGGAAAAGGGCAGCCGAGAUACAAUAGUUUUUAAUUUUACAUUAUAUUUUAGCGUUAGCAAUUAUUUGCAUAUACAGUAUACCAUUUUUAGUUAUUUUACUUAUUUUCAAAUAGUUGAGACCCGACUAGAUAUUAUUUAACAAGGUUCUAUAUUAUCCGAGAUGAAUUGAAGACGGGUAAUUGUUGUCAAAGAACGUAGUACAGAGAAGUUCCCUUUAUGAAUCGUGGCCGACAAUUGCACGGUAUUUGAAAGGAGAUCUAAGUUUAUAAAAAGAAUUUACUCUAAUUACUUACGAUAGUACGGCUUAAAUUAUACAUUAAAAUUCAUUUGUUCAAUAAGUAGCUCUAAUUUGAAAAUAUGCUACGGUUCAUUGUACGGGUUAAUUUUGAUAAAUUAAUCAGUUAAUGUUUCGUUUUUAUCCAAGUAACCUAUGGUUCACAUUACCUCAGCUAAUCGAGAAUCUAUUUAAUCGUCUUACAGACAUUCAUUUUUGGAAUAAGUAAAUAUGUAAAUCAUUUAAGUGACAUUGUGCCUAUGUUAUGUCAUGAUUUACACAUGAAUAUUUUCUGUGGUGUUUUAUGGAGAACACUUGAAAGUUUAAUUAAUUCAUUUAGGUUGUUAGUAGUUCAUUCUUUAGUAUUUUUAAAAUUACUUAUAAAAGCAAAUAAUAUACACUUAUUUAUAUAUAUUCAUGAUUUUGCAACGUAGAAGGUUAUAAUUAUAAUAAUAAUUAUUAUUAUAAUUAUACUAAUUAUUAUUAUUGUUAUUAUUUUAUUGUCGAAUGGACUCGUACAUCAAUAGUUUUUUGCAAGCCUAUACUAGAAAUUUGCUGCUUGCACGCAUUUCAUUUAAUGAGAAUACAGUAACUAAAUGCAAAACGCCGGCUUGUAAUAUAAAGUGGAAUGAAUCCUCGAUAAUGAAAAGUGGAAAAAUAGUGUACUUUGCUAUUAAUAGAAAACAACAGACAAUGGAAAAUUUAAGAAGGAAACUGUAAACAAUCUGUUGUAUAAAUUUGAAAGCAGUUAUGAAUAUCGGAGGUGUGAAAGAAAAUUUAAGAAAGUUUUGUAAAAGAUCACAGCAUGUUUCCUUAUGAAAAAUUUAAGAAGAGUAAACUGAUUAUUCAUGAUUUGGGAUGAAAAUGUUUACUGUUUAUAAUGACGUUAGAAGCUUCAAAAAUAACAUCAAGAAGCAUUAAGAAUGACAUGAAGAUGUUCUCGGAAGAGACUAUUAAUCAGGAAAUUUUGAAAAUAUGCUGUGUUUCCAAUCAAGAUCCAACUUUACUCGACCGAUUGGAUGGAUGGAUUCUUAAGCUCUGUUUGCGGACGAAGGAGAACAUCUACUCUAUAUUUAACGCAGCAACGAAGGCGACCUGUCUGUCCUUAUUGUUUGAAAUCUUUUUACGA
Centruroides sculpturatus (bark scorpion) is the source of this 1801-nucleotide long non-coding RNA. RefSeq lists it as uncharacterized. The transcript is spliced from 6 exons. The record is from RefSeq and is a predicted model, not a curated record. Lineage: Eukaryota; Metazoa; Arthropoda; Arachnida; Scorpiones; Buthidae.